RNAcentral lists this ribosomal RNA (449 nucleotides) under Daphnia pulex (common water flea). Its description in RNAcentral is "partial 12S ribosomal RNA". The record is from RNAcentral. Lineage: Eukaryota; Metazoa; Arthropoda; Branchiopoda; Diplostraca; Daphniidae.
AGUUAACAUUUGAUUUAGUGAAAGAAGGUGAAAUUUUGUUGAUAAGGUGAAAUUUUUAAUUAGAAGUAAAUUCUUAAGAAAUCUGUUGGAAUUAAAAAAUUUAGGUAAAAAACCAGGAUUAGAUACCCUGUUAUUCUAAAUUAUAAUGUAGAUAGGGUAGUAAAAGUUGUUCUUCAAACCCAAAGAUUUUGGCGGCAUCUUAUCCUAAUAGAGGAGCUUGUUCUAUAAUUGAUAGUCCUCAUUUUAUCUUACCCUCUUUUGUUAAGCUUGUAUACCGCCGUUGUCAGAUUACUUUAGAAGAAUGUUUUCAAGAAAAAUAUUUUUUUCACUUCAGGUCAAGGUGCAGUUUAUAAGAGGGCAGCAAUGAGCUACAAUUUUUAAUAGAAAUACGAAUUUUAGGUUUGAAAUCCGGGGAAAGGUGGAUUUAUUAGUAAAUUUACUUAAGUAUA